AGUUUACUAUUGGAGCGGUUAGUGGCGGACUGGUGAGUAACACGUAAGCAACCUGGCUAUUAGAGGGGAACAACAGUUAGAAAUGACUGCUAAUACCGCAUAUGCCUUAAUCAUCACAUGGUGAUAGAGGGAAAGGAGAAAUCCGCUAAUAGAUGGGCUUGCGUCUGAUUAGAUAGUUGGUAGGGUAAUGGCCUACCAAGUCUACGAUCAGUAGCCGGACUGAGAGGUUGAACGGCCACAUUGGGACUGAGAUACGGCCCAGACUCCUACGGGAGGCAGCAGUCGGGAAUAUUGCGCAAUGGAGGAAACUCUGACGCAGUGACGCCGCGUGCAGGAAGAAGGUUUUCGGAUUGUAAACUGCUUUAGACAGGGAAGAUAAUGACAGUACCUGUAAAAUAAGCUCCGGCUAACUACGUGCCAGCAGCCGCGGUAAUACGUAGGGAGCGAGCGUUAUCCGGAUUUAUUGGGUGUAAAGGGUGCGUAGACGGGAUAACAAGUUAGUUGUGAAAUCCCUCGGCUUAACCGAGGAACUGCAACUAAAACUAUUAUUCUUGAGUAUUGGAGAGGAAAGUGGAAUUCCUAGUGUAGCGGUGAAAUGCGUA
Molecule: ribosomal RNA, 602 nt
Filed under: uncultured bacterium
Lineage: Bacteria
Description: bacterial SSU rRNA
Rfam family: Bacterial small subunit ribosomal RNA
Source: RNAcentral